This 460-nucleotide ribosomal RNA is filed under the name uncultured bacterium. Its description in RNAcentral is "partial 16S ribosomal RNA". It matches the Rfam family "Bacterial small subunit ribosomal RNA", at positions 338 to 795 of the family's 1533-position model. The record is from RNAcentral.
CCUACGGGGGGCAGCAGUGAGGAAUAUUGGUCAAUGGACGAGAGUCUGAACCAGCCAAGUAGCGUGAAGGAUGACUGCCCUAUGGGUUGUAAACUUCUUUUAUAAAGGAAUAAAACGAGGCACGUGUGCCUUUUUGCAUGUACUUUAUGAAUAAGGAUCGGCUAACUCCGUGCCAGCAGCCGCGGUAAUACGGAGGAUCCGAGCGUUAUCCGGAUUUAUUGGGUUUAAAGGGAGCGUAGAUGGUUUGUUAAGUCAGUUGUGAAAGUUUGCGGCUCAACCGUAAAAUUGCAAUUGAUACUGGUAGUCUUGAGUACAGUUGAGGUAGGCGGAAUUCGUGGUGUAGCGGUGAAAUGCUUAGAUAUCACGAAGAACCCCGAUUGCGAAGGCAGCUUACUAAGCUGUGACUGACAUUGAUGCUCGAAAGUGUGGGUAUCAAACAGGAUUAGAUACCCCAGUAGUC